This 74-nucleotide transfer RNA is filed under the name bacterium. RNAcentral describes it as "tRNA-Thr". It matches the Rfam family "tRNA". Rfam says of the family: Transfer RNA (tRNA) molecules are approximately 80 nucleotides in length. The record is from RNAcentral.
GCUCGUGUAGUAUAAUGGCAUUAUUCCUCACUUGUAAUGAGGAGAUGGGGGUUCGAUUCCUCUCACUUGCUCCA